GUCCACGCCGUAAACGAUGAUGACUAGCUGUCGGGGCUCAUGGAGCUUCGGUGGCGCAGCUAACGCGUUAAGUCAUCCGCCUGGGGAGUACGGUCGCAAGAUUAAAACUCAAAGAAAUUGACGGGGGCCUGCACAAGCGGUGGAGCAUGUGGUUUAAUUCGAAGCAACGCGCAGAACCUUACCAGCGUUUGACAUGGUAGGACGAUUUCUGGAGACAGAUCUCUUCCCUUACGGGACCUACACACAGGUGCUGCAUGGCUGUCGU
Molecule: ribosomal RNA, 265 nt
Filed under: uncultured bacterium
Lineage: Bacteria
Description: partial 16S ribosomal RNA
Rfam family: Bacterial small subunit ribosomal RNA
Source: RNAcentral